CGAUUGAAACGACUGCUAAGACUGGAUAGGAAGAUAAAAGGCAUCUUGUAUCUUUUAAAAGACCUAGUUAAUAGGUAUGCUUUAGGAGGGGCUUGCGCCAUAUUAGUUAGUUGGUAGGGUAAUGGCCUACCAAGACGAUGAUGUGUAGCUGGACUGAGAGGUUGAACAGCCACAUUGGGACUGAGACACGGCCCAAACUCCUACGGGAGGCAGCAGUAGGGAAUUUUCGGCAAUGGAGGAAACUCUGACCGAGCAACGCCGCGUGAAUGACGAAGUACUUCGGUAUGUAAAGUUCUUUUAUCGAGGAAGAAAAGCAAAUGGCGAACCAUUUGUUUGCCGGUACUUGAUGAAUAAGCCCCGGCUAAUUAUGUGCCAGCAGCCGCGGUAAGACAUAAGGGGCAAGUGUUAUCCGGAAUUAUUGGGCGUAAAGGGUGCGUAGGCGGUCUAGUAAGUCAGUGGUGUAAUGUCAACGCUUAACGUUGUCCGGCUAUUGAAACUGCUAAACUUGAGUUAGAUAGAGGCGAGUGGAAUUCCAUGUGUAGCGGUAAAAUGCGUAAAUAUAUGGAGGAACACCAGAGGCGUAGGCGGCUCGCUGGGUCUUAACUGACGCUGAGGCACGAAAGCGUGGGGAGCAAACAGGAUUAGAUACCCUGGUAGUCCACGCCGUAAACGAUGAGUACUAAGUGUCGGGUUAAACCGGUACUGAAGUUAACACAUUAAGUACUCCGCCUGAGUAGUACGUACGCAAGUAUGAAACUUAAAGGAAUUGACGGGACUCCGCACAAGCGGUGGAUCAUGUUGUUUAAUUCGAAGAUACCUGAAAAACCUUACCAGGUCUUGACAUGUUUUUGCAAAAUGAUAGUAAUAUCGUGGAGGUUACCAGAAACACAGGUGGUGCAUGGUUGUCGUCAGCUCGUGUCGUGAGAUGUUAGGUUAAGUCCUAAAACGAGCGAAACCCUUAUCGUUAGUUGCCAGCACGUUAUGGUGGGGACUUUAACGAGACUGCCAAUGAUAAAUUGGAGGAAGGUGAGGAUCACGUCAAAUCAGCAUGCCCCUUAUGACCUGGGCUACAAACGUGAUACAAUGGCUGUUACAAAGGGUAGCUGAAACGCAAGUUCUUGGCCAAUCCCCAAAAACAGUCCCAGUCCGGAUUGAAGUCUGCAACUCGACUUCAUGAAGUUGGAAUCGCUAGUAAUCGCGAAUCAGCAUGUCGCGGUGAAUACGUUCGCGGGGUUUGUACACACCGCCCGGUCAAAUCACUAGUGAAUU
Molecule: ribosomal RNA, 1269 nt
Filed under: Candidatus Phytoplasma citri
Lineage: Bacteria; Bacillati; Mycoplasmatota; Mollicutes; Acholeplasmatales; Acholeplasmataceae
Also listed under: 1 other name
Description: bacterial SSU rRNA
Rfam family: Bacterial small subunit ribosomal RNA
Source: RNAcentral